Molecule: unclassified non-coding RNA, 293 nt
Filed under: uncultured fungus
Lineage: Eukaryota; Fungi
Description: partial contains small subunit ribosomal RNA, internal transcribed spacer 1, and 5.8S ribosomal RNA
Rfam family: Eukaryotic small subunit ribosomal RNA (bases 1-73)
Source: RNAcentral
GCAAACUUGGUCAUUUAGAGGAAGUAAAAGUCGUAACAAGGUCUCCGUUGGUGAACCAGCGGAGGGAUCAUUACAGAGUUGCAAAACUCCCUAAACCAUCGCGAACGUUACCAAAUCGUUGCUUCGGCGGGCGGGGGCCCCAGCGCCCCCCCCCACCAGGCCCCUCCAGGGGGGCGCCCGCCGGAGGUACCCCAACUCUUGACAAUUAUUGGCCUCUCUGAGUCUUCUGUACUGAAUAAGUCAAAACUUUCAACAACGGAUCUCUUGGUUCUGGCAUCGAUGAAGAACGCAGC